GCAUGGAGCCGACCUUGAAAUACCACCCUUUAAUGUUUGAUGUUCUAACGUGGACCCGUGAUCCGGGUUGCGGACAGUGUCUGGUGGGUAGUUUGACUGGGGCGGUCUCCUCCUAAAGAGUAACGGAGGAGCACGAAGGUUGGCUAAUCCUGGUCGGACAUCAGGAGGUUAGUGCAAUGGCAUAAGCCAGCUUGACUGCGAGCGUGACGGCGCGAGCAGGUGCGAAAGCAGGUCAUAGUGAUCCGGUGGUUCUGAAUGGAAGGGCCAUCGCUCAACGGAUAAAAGGUACUCCGGGGAUAACAGGCUGAUACCGCCCAAGAGUUCAUAUCGACGGCGGUGUUUGGCACCUCGAUGUCGGCUCAUCACAUCCUGGGGCUGAAGUAGGUCCCAAGGGUAUGGCUGUUCGCCAUUUAAAGUGGUACGCGAGCUGGGUUUAGAACGUCGUGAGACAGUUCGGUCCCUAUCUGCCGUGGGCGCUGGAGAACUGAGGGGGGCUGCUCCUAGUACGAGAGGACCGGAGUGGACGCAUCACUGGUGUUCGGGUUGUCAUGCCAAUGGCACUGCCCGGUAGCUAAAUGCGGAAGAGA
This 587-nucleotide ribosomal RNA is filed under the name Salmonella enterica. Its description in RNAcentral is "partial 23S ribosomal RNA". It matches the Rfam family "Bacterial large subunit ribosomal RNA", at positions 2178 to 2764 of the family's 2925-position model. The record is from RNAcentral. Lineage: Bacteria; Pseudomonadati; Pseudomonadota; Gammaproteobacteria; Enterobacterales; Enterobacteriaceae.